RNAcentral lists this unclassified non-coding RNA (376 nucleotides) under soil metagenome. Its description in RNAcentral is "partial contains 5.8S ribosomal RNA, internal transcribed spacer 2, and large subunit ribosomal RNA". The stretch from base 1 to 120 matches the Rfam family "5.8S ribosomal RNA", at positions 35 to 154 of the family's 154-position model. The record is from RNAcentral.
GAUGAAGAACGUAGCGAAAUGCGAUAAGUAAUGUGAAUUGCAGAAUUCAGUGAAUCAUCGAAUCUUUGAACGCAUCUUGCGCUCCUUGGUAUUCUGAGGAGCAUGCCUGUUUGAGUGUCAUUAAAUUCUCAACUACACUGACUUUGAAUUGGUGUGGCUUGGAUUUUGGGGGGAAAAUUGUUGUGGGCUUUUUGUAUAGUCUGCUCCCCUGAAAUUGAUUAGCGGUACCUUUGUGGAACUGUCUACAGGUGUGAUAAUUAUCUACAUCUUAGACAUCUGCUGGAAUGCUGCUUUCUAAACCUUACUUGUAUUGACAAUCUUGACCUCAAAUCAGGUAGGACUACCCGCUGAACUUAAGCAUAUCAAUAAGGGAGGA